Molecule: ribosomal RNA, 322 nt
Filed under: uncultured bacterium
Lineage: Bacteria
Description: bacterial SSU rRNA
Rfam family: Bacterial small subunit ribosomal RNA
Source: RNAcentral
GACGAACGCUGGCGGCGUGCUUAAGACAUGCAAGUCGUACGAGAAAGUCACUUCGGUGGCGAGUAAAGUGGCGCACGGGUGAGUAACGCGUGGGUAAUCUGCCCUUUGGUUUGGGAUAACCCCGGGAAACCGGAGCUAAUACCGACUAAGACCACGAUGACUUCGGUCGAUGUGGCAAAAGGUGGCCUCUUCUUGAAAGCCAUCGCCAAUGGAUGAGCCCGCGUUUGAUUAGCUAGUUGGUGAGGUAAAGGCUCACCAAGGCUCCGAUCAAUAGCUGGUCUGAGAGGACGAUCAGCCACACUGGAACUGAGACACGGUCCAG